CUAAAAUAAGACACAACUAAAACAAAUGCAAAAAGGUAAAGCUGAAGUAUCUACAGGGGUUAAGAUUAGGAAAGUGUGUUCUACUUGGGAGAUCUUCGUCUUCGCAUAUGGGACAUUUUUGGUCAAGAUCCAUCUGAAAUUUAGUCUUCAUCUUUUAAAAUCCAAGGUGGGUAUGCUUCAUUUCUUGAUCAUUUUCACCUUUUACUUCACCUUGUUCAGUCUGUUGGAUGUGUUCUUGAUACGAGAAGUUGUUGAUCAAGAUCGAAAUGAAAUUUGUCCUUCUCCUCCAGAAAUCGAGUGCUAGGAUUAUCCACAUGUUGUAUGGCUACCUCAUCAUGUUGAUUUGCAUCAUUAGCAGUAUCUUCUACCCUGGAGCUUCCAAUCUCUGAGGACUCACUAUGUUUGUCCUUAUCCUUUGCUACAGUAUCUUCAUUGUUAUCGACUUGUAUUUGUUCAUUUGCUGGUCCCAUAUUAAUUUUGGUCAUCUCCUGUUGAAUAUCAUUGACUGCAAUUUCCUCCACCUUUGAAUUCUCACUGUCAACACUAUUUAUGUGUUUUUGAGACUCA
Lycium ferocissimum is the source of this 567-nucleotide long non-coding RNA. RefSeq lists it as uncharacterized. The transcript has 2 exons. NCBI's taxonomy places the organism in Eukaryota, Viridiplantae, Streptophyta, Magnoliopsida, Solanales, Solanaceae. The record is from RefSeq and is a predicted model, not a curated record.